GACGAACGCUGGCGGCGUGCCUAAUACAUGCAAGUCGAACGCUUCUUUCCUCCCGAGUGCUUGCACUCAAUUGGAAAGAGGAGUGGCGGACGGGUGAGUAACACGUGGGUAACCUACCCAUCAGCGGGGGAUAACACUUGGAAACAGGUGCUAAUACCGCAUAACAGUUUAUGCCGCAUGGCAUAAGAGUGAAAGGCGCUUUCGGGUGUCGCUGAUGGAUGGACCCGCGGUGCAUUAGCUAGUUGGUGAGGUAACGGCUCACCAAGGCCACGAUGCAUAGCCGACCUGAGAGGGUGAUCGGCCACACUGGGACUGAGACACGGCCCAGACUCCUACGGGAGGCAGCAGUAGGGAAUCUUCGGCAAUGGACGAAAGUCUGACCGAGCAACGCCGCGUGAGUGAAGAAGGUGUUCGGAUCGUAAAACUCUGUUGUUAGAGAAGAACAAGGACGUUAGUAACUGAACGUCCCCUGACGGUAUCUAACCAGAAAGCCACGGCUAACUACGUG
Molecule: ribosomal RNA, 508 nt
Filed under: uncultured bacterium
Lineage: Bacteria
Description: partial 16S ribosomal RNA
Rfam family: Bacterial small subunit ribosomal RNA
Source: RNAcentral